RNA transcript from Melanotaenia boesemani (Boeseman's rainbowfish), 2783 nucleotides. It is a transcript of the gene named tudor domain containing 3, with no coding region annotated. The transcript is spliced from 13 exons. The record is from RefSeq and is a predicted model, not a curated record. NCBI's taxonomy places the organism in Eukaryota, Metazoa, Chordata, Actinopteri, Atheriniformes, Melanotaeniidae.
UCUUGGUCAGUGACGUAUUAACGGCUGCUAGGUCGUUCAACAUUCACAUUAGCAAGCUUUGUUAGGAGGGCUAUAUAAUGUAUUACAGAGUUAGAUAGUCGUGAUUUAAGUAUCCCUCGUCUAAAACUGUUGUUGACGUUAGUUACACAUCUGGAAUCGGGACGGAAAUGACCGAUUUGGCAGAUUCUCUGACCAAAGAGGGCUGGUACCUCAGCGAUGAAGGCAUUGCAGAACUAAAAGGAUCUGCUGAGAAAAUAACCCACAGUGACAUCAUUCGUAUUGCACUUGAUAGUGAUCUUAGGCCUAUUGGCAGAAAAUUUCUACCAUCUGAUAUCAACAGUGGAAGAACUGAGAAGUUGGAGGGUCCAUGUGUCCUCCAGUUGCAGAAAGUGAGAAAUAUCUCAGCUCCUAAAGACAAUGAGGAGUCCCAGGGAGCACCGCGAAUGCUGCGCCUACAGAUGACAGAUGGGCACACCACCUGCGUUGGAUUAGAGUUUAAACAUCUGUCUGAGAUCAGUCUUAAUACGCCCCCUGGAACGAAGGUGAAGCUUCUCGGUACCGUCCAGGUUAAAAAUGGUGUUUUGCUGCUCGAUGACUCGAAAAUCUCUGUCCUUGGAGGAGAGGUUGAUCAUAUGGUGGAGAAAUGGGAACUACAGAGGAGUCUGGCCAAACACAGCAGGAGUAACAUUGGAGCAGAAGGUGGACCUCCUCCCUUUGUGCCAUUUGGUCAGAAGUGUGCAAGGAAGGAUGAUGUAGACAGUCGAGAACUAGAUCAGAGGAAGACCCUUCAGAUUCAAAAUGUGGUCAAGAGCACUGACGAGAAUGAUGAGUUUGAAAAGCAGCGGACGGCAGCUAUUGCUGAGGUGGCCAAGACCAAAGAGGGCCCCCGCACAUUUGGCGGCGGAGGAAACGCAGGCGGUAAUUUAUCCAACGCUGCUGCCUCCUCCCGAGGCCGAGACUCCUACCAGCAGAGGAGAAGAGAAGACAAGGUUGAUAGAACUCAAAGCAGACAGGAGGGAAACUACAGAGAGCUGGUGGAUGAACGUUCUUUGAGAGACAUCAUGGAGAUGGGCUUUAAUAGAGAAGCUGCUCGACAAGCUCUGAUGGAUAAUAAUAACAACCUUGAAGUGGCACUAAACAGCCUUUUGACUGGAUCUUCUGGUUGCAGACCUGGUUCUGUUGGAGCUGAAUCUCACAAGCCCCAACCCAGAGGCAGAGGAAAAGGAAGAGGCAGGUCCAGAAAUGAAGAUGAGGAGGAGGGGGCAGGGGGAAGACCUUCUGGACCAAGCACUCUAUUUGACUUUUUGGAAUCAAAGAUGGGAGUUUUUUCCAUUGACGAGCCAAAGAGCCUGGCGCCACAGAGACAUGAGAACAAAGCAAAUUUUCACACCAAAGACAUGUCUCAGACCAAGUUCUUCUCACAUAAUGACCACAGGCAACAAAGAAAUGACAAACCACCUCGCUUUCACAGAGACACUGAUUUUCCUAAACCUGGUCAGGAGCCAGUUUCUGGCACGACCUCAUCAGCUCACGCCCAGCAGUGGAAGGGCCAGGAGAGGUGGCCACGAGGCACAUCUGACCGAGUGCAAAACGACAGGAGAGAAAUGAGAGAUGAACCUAUUGUUCCUUCUUCCAUGAUGACUCAGCAGCCGAUGGAAUUAAGUGGAUCUUACCACCAACGGUCCCGGAAUGGAGAUGGUGUCGGGAAUACAUCUGGACCGUCUUACAGAAGGGGGGUAAAAGAUAACGGCCCCUCAUCCAAACCGAAUAAUUCUGCAGGAAGUGAAGUGGAUGGACACGGAAACAAUAAACGUACAGACAGAAAUGAUGAAGCCAACAAUAGCAGGAGGAAGGGGAAGGGUGACCGGCCAAACUCGGACCACUUUGAUAGACAAAGGGAUAGCGGGCCAUCAAUCUUUAACUCAAAAGGAGGACUCUCAGGGACUCCUCAUGAAAUAGGAUUUUUACAGGGUCCUCGAACAGUGACAGGGCAUCCUUCUCAUUUCCAGAACGGAGAGUUGGAAUAUAAAAGAACUGGACCAAUUAAACCAACAAACCCAUCCUUUCCUCCUAACAGGGAGCAGGUACCCAAGAAAAACGCUCCUAACAACCCUGGUCCUAAAAGAAGGCCAGGGCAGGGCAAGGGUCAAGGUCCUCGAGGACCAGAGAAAAGUCAUGUUACAGAGCAUGGUUGGAAACCUGGAGAUCAGUGUCUGGCACUGUAUUGGGAAGACAGCAAGUUUUACCAUGCCAGAAUAGACGCUGUUCAUCCGUCCGGUUCUACGGCCGUCGUCGUAUUCAGUGAUUAUGGAAACUGUGAAGAGGUCCUCCUGAAUAACAUUAAACCUAUUGCUGCUGAUGUGAUGGUAAGGAAAAAGAAAACACCUCAUCGUUUUAAGAAUUCAUUGCUUAUAUGAAGGGCUGCAAGUUUGGACCUUGGCUGGGGUUUUUCUUUGUGGAGUUUGCAUGUUUCCCCCAUGCAUGUGUGGGUUCUCUCCAGGUACUGUGGUUUCCUCCCACAAUCCACAAACAUGCAUGUUAGGUUAAUCUGUGUUUCUAAAUUGACCCUAGGACUGAGUGUAAGUGGUUGUUUGUCUCUCUGUUUUGGUCCUGUGAUGGACUGGCAACCUGUCUGGAGUGUAUCCUCCCUUCUGCCUAAUAGCAGCAUGGAAAGGCUCCAGCUCCUUGCAAGCUUAAAUUAGAGUAAGCAAGAGGAAGAUGAUGGUUACUAUGACAGCUCACUAGAGUUUCGCCGUGGGGGAGAUGGGCAGCCGAGACGCACG